UGCAGUCGAGCGAACAGAUAAGGAGCUUGCUCCUUUGACGUUAGCGGCGGACGGGUGAGUAACACGUGGAUAACCUACCUAUAAGACUGGGAUAACUUCGGGAAACCGGAGCUAAUACCGGAUAACAUAUUGAACCGCAUGGUUCAAUAGUGAAAGGCGGCUUUGCUGUCACUUAUAGAUGGAUCCGCGCCGUAUUAGCUAGUUGGUAAGGUAACGGCUUACCAAGGCAACGAUACGUAGCCGACCUGAGAGGGUGAUCGGCCACACUGGAACUGAGACACGGUCCAGACUCCUACGGGAGGCAGCAGUAGGGAAUCUUCCGCAAUGGGCGAAAGCCUGACGGAGCAACGCCGCGUGAGUGAUGAAGGUCUUCGGAUCGUAAAACUCUGUUAUCAGGGAAGAACAAAUGUGUAAGUAACUGUGCACAUCUUGACGGUACCUGAUCAGAAAGCCACGGCUAACUACGUGCCAGCAGCCGCGGUAAUACGUAGGUGGCAAGCGUUAUCCGGAAUUAUUGGGCGUAAAGCGCGCGUAGGCGGUUUUUUAAGUCUGAUGUGAAAGCCCACGGCUCAACCGUGGAGGGUCAUUGGAAACUGGAAAACUUGAGUGCAGAAGAGGAAAGUGGAAUUCCAUGUGUAGCGGUGAAAUGCGCAGAGAUAUGGAGGAACACCAGUGGCGAAGGCGACUUUCUGGUCUGUAACUGACGCUGAUGUGCGAAAGCGUGGGGAUCAAACAGGAUUAGAUACCCUGGUAGUCCACGCCGUAAACGAUGAGUGCUAAGUGUUAGGGGGUUUCCGCCCCUUAGUGCUGCAGCUAACGCAUUAAGCACUCCGCCUGGGGAGUACGACCGCNAGGUUGAAACUCNAAGGAAUUGA
RNAcentral lists this ribosomal RNA (875 nucleotides) under Staphylococcus sp. RNAcentral describes it as "bacterial SSU rRNA". It matches the Rfam family "Bacterial small subunit ribosomal RNA", at positions 56 to 913 of the family's 1533-position model. Lineage: Bacteria; Bacillati; Bacillota; Bacilli; Caryophanales; Staphylococcaceae. The record is from RNAcentral.